RNAcentral lists this ribosomal RNA (425 nucleotides) under uncultured bacterium. RNAcentral's name for it is "partial 16S ribosomal RNA". It matches the Rfam family "Bacterial small subunit ribosomal RNA", at positions 354 to 796 of the family's 1533-position model. The record is from RNAcentral.
GUGGGGAAUAUUGGACAAUGGGCGCAAGCCUGAUCCAGCCAUGCCGCGUGAGUGAUGAAGGCCUUAGGGUUGUAAAGCUCUUUCAGUGGGGACGAUAAUGACGGUACCCACAGAAGAAGCCCCGGCUAACUUCGUGCCAGCAGCCGCGGUAAUACGAAGGGGGCUAGCGUUGUUCGGAUUUACUGGGCGUAAAGCGCACGUAGGCGGAUCGUUAAGUCGGGGGUGAAAUCCUGGAGCUCAACUCCAGAACUGCCUUCGAUACUGGCGAUCUUGAGUCCGGAAGAGGUGAGUGGAACUCCUAGUGUAGAGGUGGGAUUCAUAGAUAUUAGGAAGAACACCAGUGGCGAAGGCGGCUCACUGGUCCGGUACUGACGCUGAGGUGCGAAAGCGUGGGGAGCAAACAGGAUUAGAAACCCCUGUAGUCC